AUAGUACUCCCUCCGUCUGAAAAUGUUUGUCCCUCAAAUGAAUGUAUCUAGCACCAAAGUAAUGCUAGAUACACUCAUUUAAGAGAUAAGUUUGGGACAAGUUUUUCCGAACGGAGGGAGUAUUUG
Non-coding RNA from Triticum urartu, 126 nucleotides. Lineage: Eukaryota; Viridiplantae; Streptophyta; Magnoliopsida; Poales; Poaceae. The record is from Rfam.